This 253-nucleotide ribosomal RNA is filed under the name uncultured bacterium. Its description in RNAcentral is "partial 16S ribosomal RNA". It matches the Rfam family "Bacterial small subunit ribosomal RNA", at positions 524 to 776 of the family's 1533-position model. The record is from RNAcentral.
UACGUAGGGGGCAAGCGUUGUCCGGAUUUAUUGGGCGUAAAGAGCGUGUAGGCGGUUUGGUAGGUCCGUUGUGAAAACUCGAGGCUCAACCUCGAGACGCCGAUGGAAACCAUCAGACUAGAGUCCGGAAGAGGAGAGUGGAAUUCCUGGUGUAGCGGUGAAAUGCGCAGAUAUCAGGAAGAACACCCGUGGCUAAGGCGGCUCUCUGGGCAGUAACUGACGCUGAGGAGCGAAAGCGUGGGGAGCGAACAGG